Poecilia latipinna (sailfin molly) is the source of this 1562-nucleotide long non-coding RNA. RefSeq lists it as uncharacterized. Lineage: Eukaryota; Metazoa; Chordata; Actinopteri; Cyprinodontiformes; Poeciliidae. The record is from RefSeq and is a predicted model, not a curated record. The transcript has 3 exons.
AUGGGUCACGCACUUUACCCUUGCACCACCGUUGUGUAAAUCUCCAUAAUAUUUUAAGAUGACACUUUAUGUUAUAGUCAAACAAUUUGUUGUGGCAAUAAGCAAGAUUAACUGACUUGCCUUCCACUGAUUAACCGUGAUCCUUUAAGGCAAUUUUCAGUUUCAGAGAUUGUUCUUCUUCUACCUUUCCUUCACCUGGGCAGAGCCGGCUCUGGAUAUCCAUCACGGUGGAUUGUCGGUGGAUCUGCGUUGACCCAGUCAAGACAUCUCAGGCGAGUCUGCGGAGGGAGGUUAACCUGACACAGAAAUUGCUAUCUGCCAAGAUGAAUGGAGCUCACCAGAGAGCAGAUGAGGAGAGCAGUGACCUGACAUCGUUUCUGACAGAUUCUGUGCAUCCCAGCAACAUCUUUCUCUACUCCUCGGUGCCAGCUGCCUCCUUCUGCUGUUCUGGUCCUGCCAGACAGUCAUGGAGCUGCAGUCAGCACACAAAUGUCAGAGGGUAUCUGCAGCCAGUCAUCACUAAACAUGGAGAUUUACAGCUUGCUAUGCAGCUGAAACACACGCAGCCAUAAACUCAAGAGAGAGCAGACGACUGCCGUCCCCACAGCACAACCGGUGAACACCGAAGGAGAAGAAAGAAAAUCAUUCCGCGGUGACCUUUGUGCAUCGCUGCUUGUUCAAAACAUAUCCCAUCAUCCUCCCUCUGACACAAAUUUCUGCCACUGCUUUUCCCUUUCAUCUUCAGACGCAGCUUUUACUUCCGUCUCCGUGAGGGAUGGAAAAAAGAAAAAAAAAAGAACUUAUUGGCGGCGACACAGUCCCUCAAUUGUCAGUGUGAUCGAUGUGUGCAGCCUGGAUGUAGGCCACUGCAUUAGUCGUGGAGGCUCUUAGCCGCUCACCGUGGAUACACAUCACUGCUCCCAUCUUGUUGCCUCUGCGGUGUAAUUGUUUUGUUAUUGCAGCUCAGACCGAGUCUAUUUAAAUGUUCGCAUUGCGCAGACAGCUUAAUAUGCAUGACCUGGUAGGUUUGUUUAGUGUCACUGCGACUAGUAGGGACACUGUGGACCAUAAACAACAUGACCCAACUUAUUAAAGUGGUUUAUUAGCUUCUAACGUAUGCAUGUCUGCUUUAUGGAACCCAUCUCCUUUAAACUUCCAAUAACUCAAUAAGGCUCUCAGACCCAAAAGCAUAAGCAAACUAAAGGCACAUCUUGAUUGAAGGAAACCUUUUAAAGGUAGCAGGACAUAUUUUUAGGAAUCUUUUAACUCCCUCUACUUCCGCUGUAACGGCUAGAAGAAAUUUUUUUUUGCAAAAACAAACAAAAAAAAAAGAACCCAUGUAGGGAGGAAGCACUUUUUCAUUUACCUUAAACUAUAAGGUGGAUAUUUCACAAGUCAGACUGAAAGCAUUUUGACUUCACUGAUUUAAAAAAAAAAAAAGUAAUUUUAUCCAUUGAAACGCGUCUGCAGCUUGUAUCUUCUGUGAUUUUUUGGCUGUGAUACAGUUCACAUCAAUGAAGUCUGUUUUAAGCCAUAAGUGGUAAUUUUAGUUUUGAAGAAAU